Molecule: ribosomal RNA, 496 nt
Filed under: uncultured bacterium
Lineage: Bacteria
Description: partial 16S ribosomal RNA
Rfam family: Bacterial small subunit ribosomal RNA
Source: RNAcentral
GAUGAACGCUGGCGGCGUGCCUAAUACAUGCAAGUCGAGCGAACAGACGAGGAGCUUGCUCCUCUGACGUUAGCGGCGGACGGGUGAGUAACACGUGGAUAACCUACCUAUAAGACUGGGAUAACUUCGGGAAACCAGAGCUAAUACCGGAUAAUAUAUUGAACCGCAUGGUUCAAUAGUGAAAGACGGUUUUGCUGUCACUUAUAGAUGGAUCCGCGCCGCAUUAGCUAGUUGGUAAGGUAACGGCUUACCAAGGCAACGAUGCGUAGCCGACCUGAGAGGGUGUUCGCCCCCCCUGAACCUGAGCCCCGGCCCGGCUCCCUCCGGGGGGCGCCGUAAGGAAUUCUCCCGCACUGGGCGAAACCUUGCCGAAGCAACCCCGCGUGAUGAAUGAAGUUCUCCGGUUCGUAAACCUCUUUUUUUGGGAAAGAACAAAGUUGUAGGUAACUAUGCCCGUCUGACCGUUCCCAAUCCAGAAGCCACCGCCUACCUCCGG